UGGUGCCGAUGCGCUUAGGGGAAACACCCGUACCCAUCCCGAACACGAUGGUUAAGACCUAAGCGGCCGAUGGUACUAUGCUGGAGACGGCAUGGGAGAGCAGGUGGGUGCCAGAUU
This 117-nucleotide ribosomal RNA is filed under the name Enterocloster bolteae WAL-14578. RNAcentral also lists the same sequence under 1 other name. The record is from RNAcentral. Lineage: Bacteria; Bacillati; Bacillota; Clostridia; Lachnospirales; Lachnospiraceae.